Molecule: ribosomal RNA, 445 nt
Filed under: uncultured bacterium
Lineage: Bacteria
Description: partial 16S ribosomal RNA
Rfam family: Bacterial small subunit ribosomal RNA
Source: RNAcentral
GUAGGGAAUAUUGGGCAAUGGAGGCAACUCUGACCCAGCCAUGCCGCGUGCAGGAAGACGGUCCUCUGGAUUGUAAACUGCUUUUGAAUGGGAAGAAACGCACUUUUGCGAAAGUGUUUGACGGUACUAUUAGAAUAAGCACCGGCUAACUCCGUGCCAGCAGCCGCGGUAAUACGGAGGGUGCAAGCGUUAUCCGGAUUUAUUGGGUUUAAAGGGUGCGUAGGCGGCUUGAUAAGUCUGGGGUUAAAGGCGGCAGCUUAACUGUACGCAUGCCCUGGAAACUGUGAAGCUUGAGUGACUUGGAGGUAGCUAGAAUUCCCUGUGUAGCGGUGAAAUGCAUAGAUACGGGGAGGAAUACCGAUUGCGAAGGCAUGUUACUACGAGUAAACUGACGCUGAUGCACGAAAGCGUGGGGAUCAAACAGGAUUAGAAACCCCAGUAGUCC